Molecule: unclassified non-coding RNA, 387 nt
Filed under: soil metagenome
Description: partial contains 5.8S ribosomal RNA, internal transcribed spacer 2, and large subunit ribosomal RNA
Rfam family: 5.8S ribosomal RNA (bases 1-120)
Source: RNAcentral
GAUGAAGAACGUAGCGAAAUGCGAUAAGUAAUGUGAAUUGCAGAAUUCAGUGAAUCAUCGAAUCUUUGAACGCACCUUGCACCCUUUGGCAUUCCGAAGGGUAUGCUCGUUUGAGUGUCAUUGUACUCUCACACUCUCCGAUCCUAUGGAUUCGGGGAGCGGUGGACUUGGGUGUUGCUGCCUUUCCUUGUGGCUCACCUCAAAUGUGUCAGCGCACCUCUUGGUUGGACAUAGUACGGCGUGAUAAGUGUCUUCGCCGGCACCUCGCAAGAGGGUGGCCGAUCGGGAGCUCUGUGCUUUCAAACCGUCUUCGGACAAUUUCUGACAACUUGACCUCAAAUCGAGUAGGACUACCCGCUGAACUUAAGCAUAUCAAUAAGCGGAGGA